RNAcentral lists this unclassified non-coding RNA (259 nucleotides) under Hevea brasiliensis (rubber tree). The record is from RNAcentral. Lineage: Eukaryota; Viridiplantae; Streptophyta; Magnoliopsida; Malpighiales; Euphorbiaceae.
CUUCGAUGUCAUGCGGCAAUGGCACGAGGACGAAAAAAUGCCGUUCGACAAGUUCGUGAUCGGCGACGGCCUGCACAUGAACGACUGGGGCUACGCGUGCUUCGCCCAGUUGCUCGGCGACACCAUCAUCAAGUCGGUCGGACAGGUGAAGGCCGGCGUCAACAUUCCGGCAAACGUGAUGACCUUCCGGCCGAUNNNUCAGCCUGCCUUCGAUGCACGUCUGCGUCUCGCCGCCGAUCCAGAUGUCGUGACCAUCACG